This is a non-coding RNA of Cinara cedri, 824 nucleotides long. NCBI's taxonomy places the organism in Eukaryota, Metazoa, Arthropoda, Insecta, Hemiptera, Aphididae. The record is from the annotation of a GenBank genome assembly.
AGUUAUUCGUAGGGUGGCACUGUGGUCGUGAAACUGAUACGUGCUUAAUAGUUUACCAUCUCGUUCGCCAAAACAAAUUUUCGAGGUAUUCGUAUUUAACUUUACUAAUAUGUGUGAUUAUUAGUUUUUCUUUUUGUGUAUCCGGUAACUUUUCUAUCAGAAAUCCCCAAUCAAAAUAAUAUGACUUUUUCGUUGCAUUUUGGAUCAAGAUGGUGCAUUGAGGCAGGAACAGAUACAGGGGGGACUAGGUGCUGAGCCCCUAGUCCUCGAGAUCAUUUUUGAUUCUUCAAGCGGUUUUCAUUAAUAGUUGGGAAAAAACAAUAAAAAAAAAAAAAACCUACAAAUUCACGAACGAUUUACAAACGUAUUAAAAAGUUUUUCGAUUUUCGUUUUUUACCAGAAAACUUGCUCCGAAAUUCAUGAGUAGGUAAAAUCUUUUCUGGCAUAGAAACAUAUAUAGUUGAUAUGAGUAAGAUUUAUGUUUUUUUGAUUUUCUUUGUAGUUAUCCAAAUAAUUUGCCAAAUUGUUUUAUACGCUACCAGGAGCGUGUAAAUAUGAUGCGGUGUUUCACACAAUUCGUUUCUGCAACGACAGUGCAAACAGAUCGGAUAAAAGUAAAUCCGGGUAAUAAUUUUACACAGUUUCGACAACGGUAUGGACUUGUAUUAUAAGUCGAUAUCCAGUUCCAAUCGGUAAAUCGUGUGUAAAUAUUUUAUUUUUUAAUUUCGAUUAAUUAAUAUAUUUAAAUCAUAUUUCUUUCCAUGCGUCUCUCGUUAAGUCCCUGUCUUUGUAAAUGUUUAAAGUCUUAUCCCAAACUAUUGGCC